CCAAUAGCGUAUAUUAAAGUUGUUGCAGUUAAAAAGCUCGUAGUUGAAUUUCGAGAUCAAUAUAUUGGUCGUGCCUCCGGUACGUACUGGUAUCGUUGAUUUCUACCUUCUGACGAACCAUGAUGUCAUUAAUUUGGUGUCAUGGGAAAUCAGGACUGUUACUUUGAAAAAAUUAGAGUGUUUAAAGCAGGCACACGCUUGAAUACAUUAGCAUGGAAUAAUGAAAUAGGACGUUUGACCCUAUUUUGUUGGUUUCUAGGAUCGACGUAAUGAUUAAUAGGGAUAGUUGGGGGCAUUAGUAUUCAAUUGUCAGAGGUGAAAUUCUUGGAUUUAUUGAAGACUAACUACUGCGAAAGCAUUUGCCAAGGAUGUUUUCAUUAAUCAAGAACGAAAGUUAGGGGAUCGAAGACGAUCAGAUACCGUCGUAGUCUUAACCAUAAACUAUGCCGACUAGGGAUCGGAUGAUGUUAAUUUUUUAAUGACUCAUUCGGCGCCUUACG
This 500-nucleotide ribosomal RNA is filed under the name uncultured Glomeromycotina. RNAcentral describes it as "partial small subunit ribosomal RNA". It matches the Rfam family "Eukaryotic small subunit ribosomal RNA", at positions 591 to 1092 of the family's 1831-position model. Lineage: Eukaryota; Fungi; Glomeromycota. The record is from RNAcentral.